UACAGAGCCCUCAAGCGUUAUCCGGAUUUAUUGGGCGUAAAGGGUCCGUAGCCGGUUUGGUAAGUCUGAGGUUAAAUCCCAAGGGCUCAACUUUUGGAAUGCUUUAGAAACUACCAAACUAGAAGGCGUCAGGGGGUGAUGGAACGUACGGUGGAGGGGUGAAAUCCGUUGAUAUCGUACGGAACACCAAAAGCGAAGGCAUUCACCUGGGGCGACCUUGACGGUGAGGGACGAAAGCGUGGGGAGCAAAGAGG
This 254-nucleotide unclassified non-coding RNA is filed under the name uncultured Parcubacteria group bacterium. Its description in RNAcentral is "contains 16S-23S intergenic spacer region". It matches the Rfam family "Bacterial small subunit ribosomal RNA", at positions 524 to 776 of the family's 1533-position model. The record is from RNAcentral.